UACGUAGGUGGCGAGCGUUGUCCGGAAUUACUGGGUGUAAAGGGCGUGUAGGCGGGAAUGUAAGUCAGAUGUGAAAUCCCGGGGCUUAACCCCGGGUGUGCAUCUGAAACUAUGUUUCUUGAGUGCUGGAGAGGAAAGCGGAAUUCCUAGUGUAGCGGUGAAAUGCGUAGAUAUUAGGAGGAACACCAGUGGCGAAGGCGGCUUUCUGGACAGUAACUGACGCUGAGGCGCGAAAGCGUGGGUAGCGAACAGGAUUAGAUACC
RNAcentral lists this ribosomal RNA (263 nucleotides) under uncultured bacterium. RNAcentral's name for it is "partial 16S ribosomal RNA". It matches the Rfam family "Bacterial small subunit ribosomal RNA", at positions 524 to 786 of the family's 1533-position model. The record is from RNAcentral.